RNAcentral lists this long non-coding RNA (525 nucleotides) under Anolis carolinensis (green anole). RNAcentral's name for it is "lncRNA (ENSACAG00000037708.1)". The record is from RNAcentral. Lineage: Eukaryota; Metazoa; Chordata; Lepidosauria; Squamata; Anolidae.
GCAAUUUCAAAGUGAAGAAGUUGAAAACAGAUGUUGCCAAAAAUUCUUCUUUUUUUUGCAGGGAGGAGACUGUUCCAAUGUUAAGUUCGGAAAAACCUGUCUAUUCCAACAUUAUUUGCUGAGGCUGAAAAGAUCCUCAGCUUGUCCAGGUCUCCUUAUUUAUGGUCUGGUUCAUUCAUACUAAGAUCCAAUUGGAGCUUUUAAAAAUACCACUUUAACCAACAUGGUUGCAUCCUACAAAACUGCACUUAGAUUGUUUUCUGCUUUGAGGGGCAUCUGUAGCCGGGACAACUUGAAACCCUAUUGCCAUUUGAAUUGAAGUGGCAUGUGUAAAAGCAUGUGAACUGAUCGCAUCUUCACCAGCUUCCCUCCCCACAUCGGUCCUUUUUGAUAAAAAAAACUAAACAAACCCUCAUCUGUCCCUCGCAUAUGGCUCUGUGUGUGUGUGUAAGUACAUGCGUGUGACUUGUCAUUGGAGUAGGUCAUUGCAACAGAUGCCAAACAGAUAAUAGUUUGAGAAGACAA